RNAcentral lists this long non-coding RNA (2145 nucleotides) under Olea europaea subsp. europaea. The record is from RNAcentral. Lineage: Eukaryota; Viridiplantae; Streptophyta; Magnoliopsida; Lamiales; Oleaceae.
CUCUUCACGACUUCCACCAACGCCUCAGCUCUCUCUCUCGUCUCUAUUCGCAUUCCACCGCCGACUAACGGUGCCUCAGUUCUCACUAUCAUGUCUCUUCGCCUUCCACCGCGGCCACCGGCGCCUCUCACUCUAGUCGCUCACCUCCCAGGGUCCAAAUUGAAAUAUUUCUGUAAGGGACUCUUCAAAUUAAUACCCACCCCUGUUUUGAACUUAUUUAUUUGUUUCCCUUUCUAUAAGUGUACUAUUUGAAGAAUGCAUACAUCGACAUGAUGCUUAAGCUGGCAAAAAACACAGGUUCUAGAAUUAAUCUUUUGGGUUCGAAAAGAAUCCCUUUCGAUAGAUUCCAAAUAGGGAUUCAAGAACUGAAUUUGAGAAUAGAUUGGUGAUUGAGAUUUACAAAAAUAUGGUGGCUUCUUAUGAAUUGGAUUCUAACCGAUAAGCAUGAAAUGAUUAUUAGUUUUUUUUUUUUUUUUUUUGCCCCCUUUGUUGUUGUUUAUGCAUGUUUAGAUGUGAGAAACUCACACUAUCUUCAACUAUAAACAAGUUCAAAUACUUAUUUUAAUAGUAUUUAGUUGUGGGAGUUUCGGGGUUACAGAACAGAAGUAUGGUACAUCAAUUCAGAUACUGGACUCAUCAGGCCUUGAUAAAAUUAUUAAUGAUUUCAAGAACGAUGGAAAAGGAAUGGAAAUCAAACAAAUAAUUGACAGGUACUGAGAAUUGAGUGAAAAAACCAUUGAUUACUAUCAGUGAUUUGUUGCAAUACACUUUUGCUAAUCCUUGUGGAUAUAAGUUGAAAACAGAGGACAGUCCAAUGAGUUUUAGAACAUUUGUGAAUUUAUUGGCAAAAUGUGAUUGCAGAUGGGCUUCUAAGAGACUUGAGCAUGUGCUAGUCGUAAUUAUAAAGCUCUUGAAUGAGCAAAAAGCUAAUAAUCUUAAUAGAAAAUGUGGUAAGUCUAGGCAUGAGCUAAGGGAAGAGGCAAGAAAAUCUAUUGGGGACACAGGUUUAAUUGAUUUUGUGCUCAAAUCUAUCAAAUCUUUUGUAGUAAUAAUCCAAUUAUUCGACGAACAAUAAAUCCACUAACUCGAUUAGUGGAAUUUACAAUUUAUGUUGUUGCUAAAGAAGCGGAAGGAUAGUGGCCAAUUUCAAGAAUGGAUUCUGGUUGUAGAUAUUCAAGAAAUAAACUGGAACAAGCAGCAAAAGUUGUGGUGAAUAUUUUGAUAUUUAGGAGAUGAUUCAUCCUCAACAAAUGACUUGCUUGCUUUUAGUUGUUUUGUUUUGUAUAUAAAAUGUUUAUUGUUUUGUUUUGCAAAUCUGAUAAAUCAUAUGGCAAGUUACUUAUCUUUAUUACAUGUUUUAAAUUUUAAUUGUUUGAUUUGGAGUAAGCAAGGUAGAAGAAGAUUAAAGAGGGUGGCAUUUGGACAAUUGGCCCAUCAAUUUAUCUAAGAAGGAAUAUUAAUACAAUGUGGAGCCUGCUUUGUUGAGGUGAAGAUUUUAACUAAAUUCUGAAGUGAUGUAUAAUAUCUAUCUAUCAUGACAAGGUCAGCACUCUGGUGGAUAUAUAGUUUAUAUUAUAAACGAUAUCAUAACUAAAUCUUUAAGUGAUUUCUUUAUUAGAAGCAAGAGGUUAAGCAAUACUGUUUUUUAAGCAAUACAGCAGUGAUGAGCUGAAUAUCAGUUGGAGCAUAGAAGUUAUGAAAAUGGUGUUAGUGGAAUUGAAGAUUCUGUGGAAGAAGAGUGCAUUCCGAUGAAACAUGAUGGGCACAUCAGUUGGGAGCUUGAGUAUUGGCAAUAAAUCACACUGUGUUAUUUGGAGAAUACGAGUGCAAGGGCCAUGGAGCAGAUAAAAGACGAAUAGUGUCGUGGUCUAAAGCUCUGAAUUUUGUUUUGUAAUUAUUAUAGGUAUGCUAGUAAUCAAAUAAAUAAACAAUUUGCAUGCCGUAAAAAAUUAUGUUCUUUUAUUUAUACGCACGCCAUAAAAAAAUGACUUUUUAUGUAAAAAGUCAUAUAUGGCAUUCCUACAAGACGCACUAUGAACACCAUAAAAGGUAAACAUUUUUUACGGAAUUGCUUUAUACGCCAUGCCGCACGCUGUAAACAGCUUUUUACGGCAUGCAAUGCACGCCGUAAAAAGUACAUUUUGU